Molecule: long non-coding RNA, 726 nt
Filed under: Salvia miltiorrhiza (redroot sage)
Lineage: Eukaryota; Viridiplantae; Streptophyta; Magnoliopsida; Lamiales; Lamiaceae
Description: long non-coding RNA (SMIL_LNC003626)
Source: RNAcentral
CGCAUGAUUUGCUGGCGCCACUUGUUGGCCUCCGCUAGGCCGCGGCACUCCGACUCCAGGUAGGGGCGGUCCUCCUUCGGCUUCUUCUUCUCCACCACCAUCGCGACGCACAGCGAAGUCGAUCUCCUCAAGUUUCAACUGAGUUAUGUCCGACGAAGAGAAGCCAGAUCCGCCGGCCAUCUAGAUUCAGGUAGAUCUCUUGUCCGCCUCCAGCCGCAAGCAGAUCUCCUCGAAAUCGAAUCCAAGGAAGAAAUUAAGGCACGUUGAAGCAGAUUUCGUCAGGCGGUGGCUCGAGUCUCGACGGCGAUGUUGUGACGAACGGCGCUGCUAUAGGCGGCAGAACGAAGUGCAAUCGAAAGCGCUACAGCUGAUGAACGAGAGAAACCGAGAGAGGGGAGAAAUAGGACGGCAGAGACGUAGCGGCGAUGGCGGUGGCGAUGGCGCGACGCCGGCGAUGGUGUGGCAACUACGACAAGGAGAUGAGAUAGCUAGAGAGAUCUAGGGAAAGGUAGGUUGGGACGAGAGAGAGGCGAUGAUUGUGAUUUGUGAGAUACUGUAAUUGGGAGUAGCGAUUGCUGCCCAAAAUUGCCGGUAACAAAUUCUGCAAAAAAAAUAAUUGGAUUAUCAAGUUUGUUUUAUGAUGGAUUUGAAAUCAAUUGUAUUCAUCUUGAUUCAGAAUUUUACUUUCUCUUGUACUCAAAAUUGGGAUGGUUUGUUUAUCUAAAC